AGAUAUCUAUUGGGAUCAAUCUCGAACUAAUUUUUUCAUUAUAGAUUCUUCUUCUCCAAGUAGAAUCUUAGCCUUCGAACUUAGAUCAACACCUUAAUGUAGACUGCAGGAUCAAACUCCCUGAUUUGCAGCCUUCUUCUUCUUCUCCUUGUUCUUCGCUCUUGAAGAAAAAUCUUCUCAAACUUUUGGUAUGUGGAAGUGGGAUGCCCAACCCUUAGGCGUGGAAGAC
This 229-nucleotide long non-coding RNA is filed under the name Elaeis guineensis (African oil palm). RNAcentral's name for it is "long non-coding RNA (EGUI_LNC044387)". Lineage: Eukaryota; Viridiplantae; Streptophyta; Magnoliopsida; Arecales; Arecaceae. The record is from RNAcentral.